GGGGGUUAGCGUUGUUCGGAAUUACUGGGCGUAAAGCGCGCGUAGGCGGGCUAGUAAGUUAGAGGUGAAAUCCCAGGGCUCAACCCUGGAACUGCCUUUAAUACUGCUAGUCUUGAGUUCGAGAGAGGUGAGUGGAAUUCCGAGUGUAGAGGUGAAAUUCGUAGAUAUUCGGAGGAACACCAGUGGCGAAGGCGCUCUGCUGGGCCAUCACUGACGCUCAUGGACGAAAGCCAGGGGAGCGAAAGGGAUUAGAUACCCCUGUAGUCCUGGCCGUAAACGAUGAACACUAGGUGUCGGGGGAAUCGACCCCCUCGGUGUCGUAGCCAACGCGUUAAGUGUUCCGCCUGGGGAGUACGCACGCAAGUGUGAAACUCAAAGGAAUUGACGGGGGCCCGCACAAGCGGUGGAGUAUGUGGUUUAAUUCGAUGCAACGCGAAGAACCUUACCAGGGUUUGACAUCCUGCGAAUCUCUUGGAAACGAGAGAGUGCCUUCGGGAGCGCAGUGACAGGUGGUGCAUGGCU
This 522-nucleotide ribosomal RNA is filed under the name uncultured bacterium. RNAcentral's name for it is "bacterial SSU rRNA". It matches the Rfam family "Bacterial small subunit ribosomal RNA", at positions 530 to 1050 of the family's 1533-position model. The record is from RNAcentral.